This 216-nucleotide long non-coding RNA is filed under the name Phaseolus vulgaris (common bean). RNAcentral's name for it is "long non-coding RNA (PVUL_LNC004973)". The record is from RNAcentral. Lineage: Eukaryota; Viridiplantae; Streptophyta; Magnoliopsida; Fabales; Fabaceae.
UCCUUUUCUUCUUCCUUUGCAGCUUCAACAAUGACUCGCUCAAAGAUCACCCCAAAUCCUCCUCCUUCAUCACGAAACCCUUCCUCACAAGCACACGACCCACCACGAGCACGCGGCGCUUCGUCUUCUCAGGCUGAGAGGCCUGUACCUUCCCGCCCCAACCUGGCCCAGGCGACUCCGCCUGUCACCGGAGGAGCCUCCGUUCCCCCACCAGAC